Molecule: ribosomal RNA, 414 nt
Filed under: uncultured microorganism
Description: bacterial SSU rRNA
Rfam family: Archaeal small subunit ribosomal RNA
Source: RNAcentral
CAGCCGCCGCGGUAAUUCCGGCGGCCCGAGUGGCGGUCACUAUUAUUGGGCUUAAAGCGUCCGUAGCCGGGUUGGGAAGUCCUCCGGGAAAUCUGGCCGCUUAACGGUCAGAAUGCCGGAGGAUACUCCCAGCCUAGGGAGCGGGAGAGGCCGAGGGUAUUCCCGGAGUAGGGGGGAAAUCCUAUAAUCCCGGGAGGACCACCUGUGGCGAAGGCGCUCGGCUGGAACGCGUCCGACGGUGAGGGACGAAGGCCAGGGGAGCAAACCGGAUUAGAUACCCGGGUAGUCCUGGCUGUAAACGAUGCGGACUUUGUGUCGGACAAGCUAUGAGCUUGUCCGGUGCCGGAGGGAAACCGUUAAGUCCGCCGCCUGGGGAGUACGGCCGCAAGGCUGAAACUUAAAGGAAUUGGCGGG